This is a non-coding RNA of Podarcis lilfordi (Lilford's wall lizard), 163 nucleotides long. The record is from the annotation of a GenBank genome assembly. Lineage: Eukaryota; Metazoa; Chordata; Lepidosauria; Squamata; Lacertidae.
CAGUGUCACUGCUGCUUACCGGGAAGAAGAGGGGGAGGGGCAAGGUGGCAGGGAGUUUAGUGUGGUGCAAAUGCACCAGCAGAGUGCUCCUGAUGGUGCAUUUGUAUUAUGCCAGCCUCCUUGUUCCCUUCCAUCCUCCCUCCUUGUAAGCAACAGCAACUCA